CUAUAAUGCAGUCGAGCGCUUGCACAAGAAAGCUUGCUUUCUUGUUGCUUGAGCGGCGGACGGGUGAGUAACACGUGGGCAACCUGCCUAUAAGACUGGGAUAACUUCGGGAAACCGGAGCUAAUACCGGAUAAUGCUUUUGAACACAUGUUUGAAAGCUGAAAGAUGGUUUCGGCUAUCACUUAUAGAUGGGCCCGCGGCGCAUUAGCUAGUUGGUGAGGUAACGGCUCACCAAGGCGACGAUGCGUAGCCGACCUGAGAGGGUGAUCGGCCACACUGGGACUGAGACACGGCCCAGACUCCUACGGGAGGCAGCAGUAGGGAAUCUUCCGCAAUGGACGAAAGUCUGACGGAGCAACGCCGCGUGAGUGAUGAAGGUUUUCGGAUCGUAAAACUCUGUUGUUAGGGAAGAACAAGUACCGGAGUAACUGCCGGUACCUUGACGGUACCUAACCAGAAAGCCACGGCUAUCUACGUGCCAGCAGCCGCGGUAAUACGUAGGUGGCAAGCGUUGUCCGGAAUUAUUGGGCGUAAAGCGCGCGCAGGCGGUUCCUUAAGUCUGAUGUGAAAGCCCACGGCUCAACCGUGGAGGGUCAUUGGAAACUGGGGAACUUGAGUGCAGAAGAGAAGAGCGGAAUUCCACGUGUAGCGGUGAAAUGCGUAGAGAUGUGGAGGAACACCAGUGGCGAAGGCGGCUCUUUGGUCUGUAACUGACGCUGAGGCGCGAAAGCGUGGGGAGCAAACAGGAUUAGAUACCCUGAUAGUCCACGCCGUAAACGAUGAGUGCUAAGUGUUAGAGGGUUUCCGCCCUUUAGUGCUGCAGCAAACGCAUUAAGCACUCCGCCUGGGG
RNAcentral lists this ribosomal RNA (850 nucleotides) under uncultured Bacillus sp. RNAcentral's name for it is "bacterial SSU rRNA". It matches the Rfam family "Bacterial small subunit ribosomal RNA", at positions 51 to 878 of the family's 1533-position model. Lineage: Bacteria; Bacillati; Bacillota; Bacilli; Caryophanales; Bacillaceae. The record is from RNAcentral.